RNAcentral lists this transfer RNA (73 nucleotides) under Elusimicrobiota bacterium. RNAcentral describes it as "Elusimicrobia bacterium (groundwater metagenome) tRNA-Pro". It matches the Rfam family "tRNA". Rfam says of the family: Transfer RNA (tRNA) molecules are approximately 80 nucleotides in length. Lineage: Bacteria; Pseudomonadati; Elusimicrobiota. The record is from RNAcentral.
CGGGGCAUAGCUCAAUCGGCAGAGCGCGUGGUUUGGGACCACGAGGUUCUCGGUUCGACCCCGAGUGCCCCGA